GGUUCCAGCCAGCACGAGAGGGCUUCAUGCCAGAUAUAAACCGCUAAAGCACGAGCUCGGGCUCAUGCCGGAGCGUUGUUUACCGAGGCGAGCGGGACAUCCUCUUAGAAGUAUCAGGGUUAUCAUUUAACUAUAGUGAAUACACCCUGAUUUCAACCCAUCAUUCUGACUUCAGAUAACGAUGUGAAACUCAACCGGGCGAGGGUGUGCAUAUCAAGGAAUCGUCACCGUUUUAAAUGGACAGGAUGUGAAACUGCGAAAGAUUAUUAAUCACAGAACUAUCCCUGUACAGAUAGCGGUGGUGGCUUCAGGAUAGCAAUGUGGUUAAGUUACAACUGGCCACAGGUUUGGCCAGCACCUUUCCAGUCAGGGAGUGCAGAUGGACCGAUACAUAUGAAAUAAGGACUACGGCAGAGGUGAAGACCGAGAGGAUCAGUGGGUUUCAGAGUGCACAGACAUUAGUGACGAAAGAUAGGGAUCUUUCCUGGUGACAAAGGAAGAAAUGGCAUUGCACAUGGAAAUAAGAAUCACUAACUUGGAUUUACAAUCACCACUAAUUAAAAAUCUGUGACAAUGGUGUCUUUUUUUCCUUUUUCCCCAUGUGAGUUCUAAAUCAUGCCUUUCAGUUCCCCCAGUUACAUUAACUGUGACACAGGAGCUGUAGCAUGACGAGGUCUGUGAGGCAAGGUAUGCUCAGAGGAAGUGCAUUCUAAGGAAUCACUGUUACAUAACCCAUGUGCAUCCACUACUCGAUUAUAUACACACAUCUAUGGGAUAGUGCUCAAACAAUGACUGGAAACAGUGAGUGGCAAAAAUAGGCUCUUGUGUUUAGCAAUCACAGCAGAAGUUUGAUGCAGCAAUAGCAUACCAAUCUACAGUUCUUAUAAAAGCCCCUUUAUAUACAAUUCUUACAUAUAUUAUAAUUCCAUUACUGUGGUGUUACUUUGUUUUAUCUAUAGUACACAAACAUUUGAAAGACUUCUGUCCUGGGAGACAGGAGAUGGGUUAAAACAAGUGCUGGCUGCUACUUCUGAUGGGAUUAACAGUGUAUGUUUGGUCUGCUUGUAUAAUUAAGAGUUGUUAGUCCUUUUGUCUUUUAAGUUAGUAAAUGUUAGUAAAAACUAGGCCUAUGUGCUCUAAAUGCUUUAGAAAUUGUAUCUGUACUUAAUAAAACAAUAAAACAUAUUAAACUGA
Molecule: long non-coding RNA, 1194 nt
Organism: Hemiscyllium ocellatum (epaulette shark)
Lineage: Eukaryota; Metazoa; Chordata; Chondrichthyes; Orectolobiformes; Hemiscylliidae
Exons: 3
Source: RefSeq, a predicted model, not a curated record